AGACCAACCUAGAAACUCCAGCGCUCUCCAAGUCGGUUCUGAUUCCUCCACCCGCGAAGAACUCGGUCCGGUGACUCUUGGGUCUUCCUCGGUUCGUUUCCGAGUGCGGUUCUAUGCUUUGGGGCUUGCGGGGCUGAAUCGAUCAAGUUAAAUUUGUCAAGGUGUUAGCUCGUCAUCUUUGGCUUUGAGCGAAUUGUUAUCACGUGUGGAUAGGGAGAGCAGAGGAAGGAUUGGUCUAGCUAGCGUGGUGUUCCUCAUUAGAAGCAGACUAGUAUGAAGGGAUUCCGCCUUGAACUAUAUUAAUCCGAAGUCGAUCAAGAGAGGAAUUGGACAAAGGGAGAUUGAAGGAGGAAUCUAUUCUAGCUACUGCUAAGGUGCUCCUCAUCCAGAUACAAAGCUGCUAUUGAGUUUUUAUUUUUGAGCAGAAGCUAGAACGUGCUAAAUAGUUCUAAAUUGGUGACUGGUGGAGAAGAUGAGGAAUGGAAGAACUCUCUGUACGUUGCUGUGAGGAAAGUAAAGGCUGUCAUUGGCUGUUUUCAGUUUAAGACAUUAGGGACUCCAGUUACCCGAGGAGCGGAAGGCUCGUCGUUUUGGGAGUUCACGAGAAAAGCCUCGAAAUCCAGUGAGAGGGGCAUAGUGACUUCCUUGGGCUUCGAUUUCCUAAACCUCCGGAGGGAUUGUAUGGACUGAGGAGUGUCUAACAUGCUUUGAGGUGUGGCACUUUCUCUAGGCGAUAUGGCGUAAGUGGACACUCUCGCUACACUUACCUGUUGUACACAUAUAUAGUGAGGUAAGUUGGAUAGUGGGUCCAGAAGAAGACCGGCCAUGAGGUAUUGUGCACUGGGACGGGAUAGUGGCGAGGAGCUGGGUGUGCAUGUUUAUGAUCGGUAUCUUGUUUUGAUGCUUACCUUAUACUUUAAUACUUGAGUUUCUUGUUCCAAAAUUUUAUUAUGUUGGCCUUGUUGUAUUCUCAUUCGUAAUUCUAUUUCUUGAAGUUCGUUAAUAUUUGGUAAUUUCUUAAAUUAAGUUUGA
This is an RNA transcript of Fragaria vesca subsp. vesca, 1032 nucleotides long. RefSeq lists it as uncharacterized. The transcript has 6 exons. NCBI's taxonomy places the organism in Eukaryota, Viridiplantae, Streptophyta, Magnoliopsida, Rosales, Rosaceae. The record is from RefSeq and is a predicted model, not a curated record.